AGCGGCGGAUGGGUGAGUAACACGUGGGGAACCUGCCCCUAAGUCUGGGAUACCAUUUGGAAACAGGUGCUAAUACCGGAUAAUAAAGCAGAUCGCAUGAUCAGCUUUUGAAAGGCGGCGUAAGCUGUCGCUAAGGGAUGGCCCCGCGGUGCAUUAGCUAGUUGGUAAGGUAACGGCUUACCAAGGCGACGAUGCAUAGCCGAGUUGAGAGACUGAUCGGCCACAUUGGGACUGAGACACGGCCCAAACUCCUACGGGAGGCAGCAGUAGGGAAUCUUCCACAAUGGACGCAAGUCUGAUGGAGCAACGCCGCGUGAGUGAAGAAGGUUUUCGGAUCGUAAAGCUCUGUUGUUGGUGAAGAAGGAUAGAGGUAGUAACUGGCCUUUAUUUGACGGUAAUCAACCAGAAAGUCACGGCUAACUACGUGCCAGCAGCCGCGGUAAUACGUAGGUGGCAAGCGUUGUCCGGAUUUAUUGGGCGUAAAGCGAGCGCAGGCGGAAAAAUAAGUCUAAUGUGAAAGCCCUCGGCUUAACCGAGGAACUGCAUCGGAAACUGUUUUUCUUGAGUGCAGAAGAGGAGAGUGGAACUCCAUGUGUAGCGGCGGAAUGCGUAGAUAUAUGGAAGAACACCAGUGGCGAAGGCGGCUCUCUGGUCUGCAACUGACGCUGAGGCUCGAAAGCAUGGGUAGCGAACAGGAUUAGAUACCCUGGUAGUCCAUGCCGUAAACGAUGAGUGCUAUGUGU
RNAcentral lists this ribosomal RNA (743 nucleotides) under uncultured bacterium. RNAcentral's name for it is "bacterial SSU rRNA". It matches the Rfam family "Bacterial small subunit ribosomal RNA", at positions 94 to 823 of the family's 1533-position model. The record is from RNAcentral.